GACGAACGCUGGCGGCGUGCUUAACACAUGCAAGUCGAACGGAAAGGCCCUGCUUUUGUGGGGUGCUCGAGUGGCGAACGGGUGAGUAACACGUGAGUAACCUGCCCUUGACUUUGGGAUAACUUCAGGAAACUGGGGCUAAUACCGGAUAGGAGCUCCUGCUGCAUGGUGGGGGUUGGAAAGUUUCGGCGGUUGGGGAUGGACUCGCGGCUUAUCAGCUUGUUGGUGGGGUAGUGGCUUACCAAGGCUUUGACGGGUAGCCGGCCUGAGAGGGUGACCGGCCACAUUGGGACUGAGAUACGGCCCAGACUACUACGGGAGGCAGCAGUGGAGAAUAUUGCACAAUGGGCGGAAGCCUGAUGCAGCAACGCCGCGUGCGGGAUGACGGCCUUCGGGUUGUAAACCGCUUUCGCCUGUGACGAAGCGUGAGUGACGGUAAUGGGUAAAGAAGCACCGGCUAACUACGUG
RNAcentral lists this ribosomal RNA (468 nucleotides) under uncultured bacterium. RNAcentral's name for it is "partial 16S ribosomal RNA". It matches the Rfam family "Bacterial small subunit ribosomal RNA", at positions 28 to 507 of the family's 1533-position model. The record is from RNAcentral.